CUCAAAGAUUAAGCCAUGCAAAUGUAAGAAUACUGUUUUUAUAUACAGUUGUCUGUGAACGGCUCCAUAAAAAGGUUAUAGUUUAUUUGAAUGUGGAAACAUAAAACAGUUUCAAUUAUGUGGAUAUCUGUUGGAAAACAAGAGCUAAUACAUGCAAAAAGAGGUAGAAUAGAUGUAUACAUUUAUCUUCCUUGCAUUAACUAGAUAAAAAACCAAUUUAAAAAAGGUGAUACAUAGUUUACUAUGCAGAGUGAAUAGAAAUAUUCACCGCUUCAUUCAAAUUUCCUAUCUAUCAACUGAGAUUGUUCUAUAGAGGAGAACAAUGGUUAUGACGGGUAACAGGGAUUUAGGGAUCUAUUUCUGAAGAAUGAGCAUUAAAAACGGCGCAUACUUCUAAGGAAGGCAGCAGGCGCGAAAAUUACCCAAUAUAUAAUAUAUGAGGUAGCGACAAAAAAUAACAACUGGAAAAAAAAUGAGAAAAAAAGAAAAUAAUUUUUUUUUUCUCAACCAGAUUGCAAUGAAUACAGCUUAAAAAAAUUAAUAAGCAUCAACUGGAGGGCAAGCUCUGGUGCCAGCAGCCGCGGUAAUUCCAGCUCCAGUAACGUAUAUUUAAGUUGUUGUAGUUAAAAAGCUCGUAGUUGAAAGAAAAACAAAAAAAAAAUAAAAUAUUUUUAAAUAAAAUGUUUUUGUUUUUUUGUUAUAUUAUUAUAUAAAAGAUCAAUAUCAUUCUGAAAGGAAUUUGAAUAUUGUUUAAAAUCUUUAUAUAUUUUACCAUAAAUAAAAUAGAGUGUUUAAGGCAGUACAAAUAAAAUGUACAUUGAAUAAUAGAGUAUGGGAUAAUGAAAAAGGGGAGUGUUUUCUAUACAUAUAAAUAAUUUAUAUAUAGAAAUAACAUUCCAAUGAUAAAUAGGGACAAUCGGGGCAAUUUGUAUUUCUAAACGAGCGGUGAAAUGCAUAGACUUUAGAAAGACAAACAAAUGCGAAAGCAUUUUGCAAGGAUGUUUUCAUUAAUCAAGAACGAAAGUUUAGGGAUUGAAGAUGAUUAGACACCGUCGUAAUCUAAACCAUAAACAAUGUCAACAAAGGAUGGGAAAGAAAAAUAGAAUUAUUUUUAAUAAAAAAAAAAUUGUACUAAAAAGAAAAGAAAGAAUUUUUAUUUUUUCUUUUUGAAUAUUGUCUUUUCCCGUACUUUGUAAGAAAUUAAAAGUUAUCGGACUCUAGGGGGAGUAUGGUCGCAAGUCUGAAACUUAAAGGAAUUGACGGAAGGGCACCACCAGGUGUGGAUUUUGCGGCUUAAUUUGAUUCAACACGGGGAAACUUAUCAGGUCAGGACAUGUUAAGGAUUGACAGAUUGAAAGAUCUUUCAUGAUUAUAUGGGUGGUGGUGCAUGGCCGAUCUUAGUUCGUGGCAUGAGUUGUCGGCUUAAUUGCGUUAACGAACGAGACCUUUAGAGAUAAAUAGUGACGAAAAGAAUAUUGUUUUAUUAUUAUAAACAAAUAAUAAAAGAAGGAUAAAAUUCCCUUUUAUUAUAGAAUAAUUGUUUAUAAUAAAUAUUCUUUUUAUAAAAUGUCAAAAAAAAGAGAAAUAUUUUUUCUUUUUUUUUUAAAAAUGCUUCUUAUUUCGACUAUUGGUUUAAAACCAAUGUAAGUUGAAGGCAAUAUCAGGUCUGUGAUGCCCUUAGAUGUUCUGGGCUGCACGCGUAAUACAAUGGUAAAGAUCAAAGGGAAAUAAAAAAGAAAAGAAAAAUAUUUUUUUUCUUCUUUCUUUUUAAAUGCAUUCAAGAUAUUGAUUGCUAAUCCUUAUUGAAUCUUUUCAACCUUAUCUGGAAUAGAUGUUUGUAAUUUUCCAUCUUCAACUAGGAAUACCUAGUAAAUAUAAGUCAACAACUUAUAUUGAUUACGUCCCUGCCCUUUGUACACMCCGCCCGUCGCUCCUACCGAUUGAAUUGUCCGAUGAGUUGCAAGGAGAAGAGAAAGAAAAUAUUUUUUUUUUUCAUUUCAAAAUGUAACAAAUCUUACAAUUUAGAGGAAGGAGAAGUCGUAACAAGGUAACCGUAGGUGAACCUGCAGAAGGAUCA
This 2077-nucleotide ribosomal RNA is filed under the name Cochliopodium gallicum. Its description in RNAcentral is "18S ribosomal RNA". Lineage: Eukaryota; Discosea; Himatismenida; Cochliopodiidae. The record is from RNAcentral.